This 69-nucleotide transfer RNA is filed under the name Nucifraga caryocatactes. RNAcentral describes it as "tRNA-Asp". The record is from RNAcentral. RNAcentral also lists the same sequence under 1 other name. Lineage: Eukaryota; Metazoa; Chordata; Aves; Passeriformes; Corvidae.
GAGGUGUUAGUAAAACCAUUACAUAGUCUUGUCAAGACUAAAUUACUGACGAAACCCCAGUACACCUCA